Molecule: unclassified non-coding RNA, 244 nt
Filed under: plant metagenome
Description: partial contains small subunit ribosomal RNA, internal transcribed spacer 1, and 5.8S ribosomal RNA
Source: RNAcentral
UCUCCGUUGGUGGACCAGCGGAGGGAUCAUUACCGAGUUUACAACUCCCAAACCCAAUGUGAACCAUACCAAACUGUUGCCUCGGCGGGGUCACGCCCCGGGGGCGUCGCAGCCCCGGAACCAGGCGCCCGCCGGAGGGACCAACCAAACUCUUUCUGUAGUGCACUCGUGGACGUUCUUUUCAAAGCUCUGAGCAAAAAUUCAAAAUGAAUCAAAACUUUCAACAACGGAUCUCUUGGUUCUG